CUGUGGAACGGCUGGGCAUACUGGCGGUCUUGAGCCAUCUAGGGGCGACUGGAACAGACGGUGGAGCGGUGAAAUGCGUAGAUAUCGUUUGGAACGCCGAUGGUGAAAACAGGUCGCUGGGGAUGAGCUGACGCUGAGACACGAAAGCCAGGGAGCAAACGGGAUUACAUACCCCGGUAGUCCUGGCCCUAAACGAUGUCCACUAGAUCAUGGUUCCUCUGACGGAUUCAUGGUCGAAGCAAAAGUGCUAAGUGGACCGCCUGGGAAGUACGGGCGCAAGGCUAAAACUCAAAGGAAUUGACGGGCGCUCACACGAGCGGUGGAGCAUGUGGUUCAAUUCCAAGCAACGCGCAGAACCUUACCUGGGCUUGACAUGCUUGGAUUAUCCCUAUGAAAGUAGGGUAGGCCCUUCGGGGUACAACAAGUACAGGUGCUGCAUGGCUGUCGUCAGCUCGUGUCGUGAGAUGUCGGGUUAAGUCCCAUAACGAGCGAAACCUUUGCCCUUAGUUACCAGCGGGUUAAGCCGGGGACUCUAAGGGGACUGCCGGUGUCAAACCGGAGGAAGGUGGAGAUGACGUCAAGUCCUCAUGGCCUUUAUGCCCAGGGCCACACACGUGCUACAAUGGCGUCGACAAAGCGAACCUAAAGCGCAAGCUGGUGGGAAACGCAAAAAUGACGCCCCAGUUCAGAUCGGAGGCUGCAACUCGCCUCCGUGAAGUUGGAAUCGCUAGUAAUCGCGGAUCAGCUACGCCGCGGUGAAUGUGUUCCUGAGCCUUGUCCACCCCCCCCGUCAAGUCAU
RNAcentral lists this ribosomal RNA (799 nucleotides) under uncultured bacterium. RNAcentral describes it as "bacterial SSU rRNA". It matches the Rfam family "Bacterial small subunit ribosomal RNA", at positions 613 to 1405 of the family's 1533-position model. The record is from RNAcentral.